RNAcentral lists this long non-coding RNA (443 nucleotides) under Prunus persica (peach). Its description in RNAcentral is "long non-coding RNA (PPER_LNC005434)". Lineage: Eukaryota; Viridiplantae; Streptophyta; Magnoliopsida; Rosales; Rosaceae. The record is from RNAcentral.
CGUGGUGCCAGACGUGUGGAGGAAGAGUGCCACGUCGGAAGCGUCGUUGACGAGUUGCAAGACCGAGUCGGGGCUCGACUCGGCGGUGGAAGAGAGAGUCACGUGGCUGGUGGCGCCGGCCAGCUUGGCGGUCACGUGAGGGAUGUUGAGCUUGGUGGCCGCCGCUUUAGCCGCUAGAAUCGGAUUCUCCGGCGUGAUCAGAAGCUUCGAUUCUGAGUCGGAGAGGUAGAACUCGAACUCCUCAGCCGUGUAAGCCGCGUUCAGCGGCACCGCCGUUGCUCGGCACCGAAUCACCGCCAAAAACAGCACGACAAGCUACAGAAACAAACACAAUCUUAUUUAAUUUUUUUUAUAUGAAAAACUUGUUUGGUUCCGGAGAAAGUUGAGGAAAGUGAAUGGAAAAGAAAAUGUUGCAAUACAAUACCUCAACGGUGUUGGGGAAG